CAAAUUCUUAAGGGCCCGAAGCUCUUUGAGCUCUUCUUCGUGCUUCUGGCGAUGUGCCAGAUGCUUUGAUCCUUUAGCUUGACAGAUCGACAUUUGUAUCAGUGAUGACCCGAUGAGUGGCCUUGGUCGUUUUCAGUUCUUCUUUGAUUUUGUCGAUAUCCUUCCGAAGGCAUUCAUUGUUGAAGAGAGCAAUAUCAAGAUUGUUUCUUUCUUUUGCCAACACAGACUUCUGGAUGGCGUUAUCUCUUUGGCAUUCUCUUCGG
Molecule: long non-coding RNA, 263 nt
Filed under: Panax ginseng (ginseng)
Lineage: Eukaryota; Viridiplantae; Streptophyta; Magnoliopsida; Apiales; Araliaceae
Description: long non-coding RNA (PGIN_LNC007941)
Source: RNAcentral